GCUUCCCUCUGGCGGCGUGCCUAAUACAUGCAAGUCGAGCGAACGGACGAGAAGCUUGCUUCUCUGAUGUUAGCGGCGGACGGGUGAGUAACACGUGGAUAACCUACCUAUAAGACUGGGAUAACUUCGGGAAACCGUAGCUAAUACCGGAUAAUAUUUUGAACCGCAUGGUUCAAAAGUGAAAGACGGUCUUGCUGUCACUUAUAGAUGGAUCCGCGCUGCAUUAGCUAGUUGGUAAGGUAACGGCUUACCAAGGCAACGAUGCAUAGCCGACCUGAGAGGGUGAUCGGCCACACUGGAACUGAGACACGGUCCAGACUCCUACGGGAGGCAGCAGUAGGGAAUCUUCCGCAAUGGGCGAAAGCCUGACGGAGCAACGCCGCGUGAGUGAUGAAGGUCUUCGGAUCGUAAAACUCUGUUAUUAGGGAAGAACAUAUGUGUAAGUAACUGUGCACAUCUUGACGGUACCUAAUCAGAAAGCCACGGCUAACUACGUG
This 497-nucleotide ribosomal RNA is filed under the name uncultured bacterium. RNAcentral describes it as "partial 16S ribosomal RNA". It matches the Rfam family "Bacterial small subunit ribosomal RNA", at positions 36 to 507 of the family's 1533-position model. The record is from RNAcentral.